ACCAUGUAUCCCAAUCCUCCACCUCAUUUAACUUUCUUAUUCCAUAAUUUCUUCUUUCUUUCUUUAUAUCCCAGGGUUCUCUCUCCCAUCUCUUAAAAGCCUUGUUUUCCCAUUGCUCCAUAUUCAUUUCCUGACCUAUGUGAGUAUUGCAAAUAAAACACACUUAUCUAAUGAUUCAAAGCUAACAUUUUGAGUCUGUAUUAUAUCACCCAAAAUGAUGGAUUCUAGCUUCAUCCAUAAACCUGCAACUUUCAUAAUUUCAUUUUUCCUAACAGCUGUUUGAUAUUUUCUUGUGCAAAUGUCCCAAUAUUGUUAUCAUCCAUUCACUCAUUUAGGCUAUUUUCAUUUUCUGGUUCUAUCCAUUUUUCUAAAAAUAGCAUAAUUUCAUUUUUCAUGCUGAAGACAAAUCCACCGUGGAUAUAUGCCACAUUUUCUAUGUAAAAUAUUGUAUUUGGAAGUAAUAAGUAUAUAAUUACAUCAUCUUCCCUGGUCUCCAUUCCCUCUCUCUGCUCCUUCUUUUCACCCUCAUCAUGCUCCAUCCCCAAUGGAGAUGACUUUGUGCAGAGGAAGAGUUAAGGACUGAGUUUCCUUCUCCAGCACGUGGACAUCCAGCUUUCCCAGUACUGGCUGAAGUGUUGAAAAAGACACAUUUUAUCUUUUGUAUGUGUUUAGAAUUUGGGAAAAAUCAGUUGGCUGGAGCUGUGUGGUUUUAUUUCUGAGUACUGUGUUCUAUUCCAUCAGCCUAUGUGUCUGUUUUGUGAAAAUAUUAUGCUAUUUUAAGCUAUCAUCUCUGCAGUAUACUGUGAAAUAGGAUAUUGUGAUGCCUCCAGCAUUUUUUGCUUCUUUGUGCAAGAUUCCUUUGAUUAUUUGGAAUCUUUUGUGUUUUUACAUGAAUUUAAGGAUUAAGUUUUCAAGUCCUGUGAGGAAUUUCAUUAGAAUUUGAAUGGAUAUUUCAUUAUUCAAGAUCUUAAUUCUUUUGGGUAAUAUAAUCACCAUCACCAUAUUAAUUGCCAAUCCUUGAAAGUGGAGAUCUUUCAAAAGUUUUCUUUAGAUUUCUCCUUUAUUGUCCUGUAGUUUUCACUAUGAAGUCAUUAUUUUGUUAAUUUUUAAAUGAUAUUGUGAAUGGGAUUGUUGUUCUGAUUGCUUUCUUAGCAAAUUUAAUGUAUGUUGUUUUAAUUCUGCUUCUUCACUGAUAGUAUUUCUUUGAGUCUUUUGGUCAGGAAUGGUGAGUUUUCUAGGCAUAAGACCAGAUAAUCAAUAACCAGAGAUAAUUGGUACCACUUGUAUCUGGUUUAUUUCUUUUUCUUCCAAUAUAGUACUUCUAAUUUUAACUCAGUAGAUUUCUAAUCAUUAUUAAGUAACCUCAUAGAUUAAUAUUGAUAAUUCUUAGAAUUAAUAAAAUAUUAACUUAUUUCCCUGUAAUAAAAAAAUCUCUUUAUCAACCACACAUGAUAUAAAUUGAUUAAUUCUUAAAUUUGGCCAUGUUUUCUUAAGGAUUUCCAUUGAGCUGCCUAUCUGCAUAAUGACAAAGGAACCACCCUAAAAACAACAGAGAGAAACUUAGGAAUACAACUGAAACAAACUUACCAAAAGCCUGUAGACCUUUACUUUCCUAUUGUAGACUGUGAUGUGUUAAGUUUUCUCUCAGAAUAUCAAGGUGAGAUAUAUAUAUAUAUACUAGGGAUUUGGUUUUUUGUUUGGUUUUUUGUAUUUGUUUGUUUUGUUUUGUUUUGUUUUGUUUCUAAGAUUACAUUGUAAAAACAAAGGAAACUAUUAGAAGAACUAUUAGAAGACAUUAGACUUUGGAUCCAGAGGUCUGCCUUGUUUGUACUUUUAAAAACUCAUUUUUUUUUUUUUGAGACAGGGUUUCUCUGUAUAGCCAUGGCUGUCCUGGAACUCACCUUUUAUACCAGGCUGGCCUCAAACUCAGAAAUCCGCCUGCUUCUGCCUCCCGAGUGCUGGGAUUAAAGGUGUGUGCCACCACGCCUGGCUCACUUUUAAAUUUUAAAAACUCAUUUUUUUCCUGUCUUAAGAAUGGGGACAUUUUCCACUGUGCUUUAUUAAUUUUAUCUAGAGUGGCAAACGAGAUAAUUGGUGUGAGAUUAGUCUCAGAAUGUAAAGAGUCUACUAAAUGUCAGCCAGUAUAAUUUUUAUUACAAUAAUUUUCCACAAUGCAUCCCUUCUGAUUUCUCUCCUGAGAGUCUGGCUAGGUUUUGAUGAGCUCAGUAUUCAAUCACUGUUAUCAAUAAAUUAAGUCAUGAUAAAAUG
Molecule: long non-coding RNA, 2268 nt
Filed under: Mus musculus (house mouse)
Lineage: Eukaryota; Metazoa; Chordata; Mammalia; Rodentia; Muridae
Description: long non-coding RNA chrX:169076786-169079054
Source: RNAcentral